RNAcentral lists this ribosomal RNA (301 nucleotides) under uncultured bacterium. RNAcentral's name for it is "partial 16S ribosomal RNA". It matches the Rfam family "Bacterial small subunit ribosomal RNA", at positions 509 to 807 of the family's 1533-position model. The record is from RNAcentral.
CAGCAGCCGCGGUAAUACGUAGGUGGCAAGCGUUGUCCGGAAUUAUUGGGCGUAAAGCGUGCGCAGGCGGUUCGUUAAGACAGAUGUGAAAUCCCCGGGCUUAACCUGGGAACUGCAUUUGUGACUGGCGAGCUAGAGUAUGGCAGAGGGGGGUAGAAUUCCACGUGUAGCAGUGAAAUGCGUAGAGAUGUGGAGGAAUACCGAUGGCGAAGGCAGCCCCCUGGGCCAAUACUGACGCUCAUGCACGAAAGCGUGAGGAGCAAACAGGAUUAGAUACCCCCGUAGUCCCUGUCUCUUAUAC